Molecule: ribosomal RNA, 691 nt
Filed under: Leuconostoc lactis
Lineage: Bacteria; Bacillati; Bacillota; Bacilli; Lactobacillales; Lactobacillaceae
Description: bacterial SSU rRNA
Rfam family: Bacterial small subunit ribosomal RNA
Source: RNAcentral
UACAUGCAAGUCGAACGCGCAGCGAAAGGUGCUUGCACCUUUCAAGCGAGUGGCGAACGGGUGAGUAACACGUGGAUAACCUGCCUCAAGGCUGGGGAUAACAUUUGGAAACAGAUGCUAAUACCGAAUAAAACUUAGUAUCGCAUGAUACAAAGUUGAAAGGCGCUACGGCGUCACCUAGAGAUGGGUCCGCGGUGCAUUAGUUAGUUGGUGGGGUAAAGGCCUACCAAGACAAUGAUGCAUAGCCGAGUUGAGAGACUGAUCGGCCACAUUGGGACUGAGACACGGCCCAAACUCCUACGGGAGGCUGCAGUAGGGAAUCUUCCACAAUGGGCGAAAGCCUGAUGGAGCAACGCCGCGUGUGUGAUGAAGGCUUUAGGGUCGUAAAGCACUGUUGUAUGGGAAGAAAUGCUAGAAUAGGGAAUGAUUCUAGUUCGACGGUACCAUACCAGAAAGGGACGGCUAAAUACGUGCCAGCAGCCGCGGUAAUACGUAUGUCCCGAGCGUUAUCCGGAUUUAUUGGGCGUAAAGCGAGCGCAGACGGUUGAUUAAGUCUGAUGUGAAAGCCCGGAGCUCAACUCCGGAAUGGCAUUGGAAACUGGUUAACUUGAGUGUUGUAGAGGUAAGUGGAACUCCAUGUGUAGCGGUGGAAUGCGUAGAUAUAUGGAAGAACACCAGUGGCGAAGGCGGC